RNAcentral lists this ribosomal RNA (253 nucleotides) under uncultured bacterium. Its description in RNAcentral is "partial 16S ribosomal RNA". It matches the Rfam family "Bacterial small subunit ribosomal RNA", at positions 524 to 776 of the family's 1533-position model. The record is from RNAcentral.
UACGAAGGGGGCUAGCGUUGCUCGGAAUUACUGGGCGUAAAGCGCGCGUAGGCGGAUUGAUUAGUCAGAGGUGAAAUCCCAGGGCUCAACCCUGGAACUGCCUUUGAUACUGUCAGUCUGGAGCAAAGUAGAGGCGAGUGGAAUUCCGAGUGUAGAGGUGAAAUUCGUAGAUAUUCGGAGGAACACCAGUGGCGAAGGCGACUCGCUGGACUUUUGCUGACGCUGAGGCGCGAAAGCGUGGGGAGCAAACAGG